AAUGGGGGAAACCCUGACGCAGCAACGCCGCGUGAAGGAAGAAGGUCUUCGGAUCGUAAACUUUUGUCUUUAGGGAAGAUAGUGACGGUACCUAAGGAGGAAGCCACGGCUAACUACGUGCCAGCAGCCGCGGUAAUACGUAGGUGGCAAGCGUUGUCCGGAUUUACUGGGUGUAAAGGGCGCGUAGACGGGUAAGUAGGUCAGAUGUGAAAUACCGAGGCUCAACCUCGGGGCUGCAUUUGAAACUGCAUAUCUUGAGUGUCGGAGAGGAAAGCGGAAUUCCUAGUGUAGCGGUGAAAUGCGUAGAUAUUAGGAGGAACACCAGUGGCGAAGGCGGCUUUCUGGACGAUAACUGACGUUGAGGCACGAAAGCGUGGGGAGCAAA
This 385-nucleotide ribosomal RNA is filed under the name uncultured bacterium. RNAcentral's name for it is "bacterial SSU rRNA". It matches the Rfam family "Bacterial small subunit ribosomal RNA", at positions 370 to 772 of the family's 1533-position model. The record is from RNAcentral.